This 465-nucleotide ribosomal RNA is filed under the name uncultured bacterium. Its description in RNAcentral is "partial 16S ribosomal RNA". It matches the Rfam family "Bacterial small subunit ribosomal RNA", at positions 28 to 506 of the family's 1533-position model. The record is from RNAcentral.
GAUGAACGCUGGCGGCGUGCUUAACACAUGCAAGUCGAACGAUGAAGCCCAGCUUGCUGGGUGGAUUAGUGGCGAACGGGUGAGUAACACGUGAGUAACCUGCCCUUAACUCUGGGAUAAGCCUGGGAAACUGGGUCUAAUACCGGAUAGGAGCGUCCACCGCAUGGUGGGUGUUGGAAAGAUUUAUCGGUUUUGGAUGGACUCGCGGCCUAUCAGCUUGUUGGUGAGGUAAUGGCUCACCAAGGCGACGACGGGUAGCCGGCCUGAGAGGGUGACCGGCCACACUGGGACUGAGACACGGCCCAGACUCCUACGGGAGGCAGCAGUGGGGAAUAUUGCACAAUGGGCGCAAGCCUGAUGCAGCGACGCCGCGUGAGGGAGGACGGCCUUCGGGUGGUAAACCGCCUUCAGUAGGGAAGAAGCGAAAGUGACGGUACCUGCAGAAGAAGCACCGGCUAACUACGU